This 30-nucleotide ribosomal RNA is filed under the name Humicola asteroides. RNAcentral describes it as "partial 28S ribosomal RNA". The record is from RNAcentral. Lineage: Eukaryota; Fungi; Ascomycota; Sordariomycetes; Sordariales; Chaetomiaceae.
AACCCAAGGUUGACCUCGGAUCAGGUAGGA